Long non-coding RNA from Dicentrarchus labrax (European seabass), 410 nucleotides. RefSeq lists it as uncharacterized. The transcript has 2 exons. The record is from RefSeq and is a predicted model, not a curated record. Lineage: Eukaryota; Metazoa; Chordata; Actinopteri; Moronidae.
GGGGGGGUCCAACCUGAGGGUCGAGACCCCGACCAGGGGCCACACGGUGAACGCGAGGGGCCCGAGGUGAACGCGAGGGGCCCGAGGUGAACGCGAGGGGCCCGAGGUGAACGCGAGGGGCCCCGAGGGAGAAGUGUUCUUUAUAAACUUUAUUAUUUGUUUUACUUUGUAGUUUCCUCGUGUGAUCCAAAGUCACUUCCUGGUUUCCAGGCGAAGAUUUUAGUUGAUUUUAUUUUUCUGAAUUAUAUAAAUCACUUCCUCCAGUUUCACUGCCAAAACAAUGUCUAGUGUUUGUGAUUGAUCUGUGUCAAAUGGAUCAAUAACUAAUAAUCAGAUUCAACCUGACUUAUGUAUUGAUUAUUUGUCUUCACAUUUGGUUUAACAAACAAUAAACACAUAUUGGAAGUCAA